Molecule: unclassified non-coding RNA, 211 nt
Filed under: plant metagenome
Description: partial contains small subunit ribosomal RNA, internal transcribed spacer 1, and 5.8S ribosomal RNA
Source: RNAcentral
UUUCCGUAGGUGAACCUGCGGAAGGAUCAUUCAUAAUAAAGUGUUUUAUGGCACUUUUUAAAAAUCCAUAUCAACCUUGUGUGCAAUGUUAGAUCUCGUCAAUCUUGGCGAGAUUUUUAUACAUCAACUCAUUCUUUAACUAAUUUGUCUGAAAAAUAUUAUGAAUACUUAAUUCAAAAUACAACUUUCAACAACGGAUCUCUUGGCUCUC